Molecule: ribosomal RNA, 437 nt
Filed under: uncultured bacterium
Lineage: Bacteria
Description: partial 16S ribosomal RNA
Rfam family: Bacterial small subunit ribosomal RNA
Source: RNAcentral
CCUACGGGGAGCAGUGGGGGAUAUUGCACAAUGGUGGAAACCCUGAUGCAGCGACGCCGCGUGUGGGAAGACGGUCCUCUGGAUUGUAAACCACUGUCCUUAGGGACGAAGAUGACGGUACCUGGGGAGGAAGCUCCGGCUAACUACGUGCCAGCAGCCGCGGUAAUACGUAGGGAGCGAGCGGUGUCUGGAAUUACUGGGUGUAAGGGGAGCGUAGGCGGGGCUGCAAGUUGGGUGUAAAAUCUACGGACUCAAGCGGUAAGCGCACUUGAAACUGCAGGUCUUGAGUGAAGUAGAGGCAGGCGGAAUUCCUAGUGUAGCGGUGAAAUGCGUAGAUAUUAGGAGGAACACCGGUGGCGAAGGCGGCCUGCUGGGCUUUUACUGACGCUGAGGCUCGAAAGUGUGGGGAGCAAACAGGAUUAGAUACCCGGGUAGUC